Long non-coding RNA from Camponotus floridanus (Florida carpenter ant), 1039 nucleotides. RefSeq lists it as uncharacterized. NCBI's taxonomy places the organism in Eukaryota, Metazoa, Arthropoda, Insecta, Hymenoptera, Formicidae. The record is from RefSeq and is a predicted model, not a curated record. The transcript is spliced from 3 exons.
UUUUCAAACUUUGUACAUCGUUUUUUUUCCAACGCGAGAAAUAAUGAUUGAAAUAACUCUAAAUUAUAUAAUGCAAAUCUGAAAUUUGCUUCUCAAGUGUUCAAUCUACUGUCAUAUGAUAAUAUAUAAUUGUAUCUAUUGAGACCGUUUUGGAACUUUCUCACAAACGAGACAAGUGCAGUUUGCUCUCAUCUUUCCGUACGUAUAAUGUGUAACUAAUCCAGGCUCUUGUUGGCGCACAAAGAAGUAGCCCAUACAGUACAGAAAAUUGUAGCAAUAUUGUAACAAUGUUGCUGCAAUGUUCUGUGCUGUAUAGGAAGGGGCUCGACCUUUAAUUCAGUGCAAUAGUGUUCCUUCAGGUAUCUAGUAGAAGACACAUAUGUACAGGGGGAUCCUUGAAGGAUGCCAGGCUUUCUCGAGAUGUUUACAAAAACAGAACAUGCAAUGAAAACAAAGAGAAAGAGAAAGAGAGAGAGCCCUACUGAACCAAAUUGCCGGCAGAACCCACAUAUUAUAAAGAAUAUUACAGCUUAUAAAUUAAUUUCGAUAAGUCUAUCUUUGAUUUCCUUAGGCGCGGGUGACUCUAGACUGGCCCCCUAUAGCUUUUUUAAAGCGACAUUAUAAUUUAAAUCAGUAUCAGUACUUUAAAGGAGAUAAAUGUCAGAAGAUAAAGAGAGAAAGAGAAAGGAGUUAUUAGCUUGAGUUACCCGAGGUGCUUUUAUGGGGAACUUUACGAAUGGAACAUAGGCGAACGAGAGAGACUCAGCGAAAUGAUUACAUAUUUAGCGUGUCUGUAAAACGGCACGACUAGUGCAAUCAUUCAGGAAUCACUUUCAUCGAUCGUAGCUUUUGGCGCAUCGUAAUCGAAACUCUCUCUCGAAACUACCUAAUCACAAUCACUAACAAAGACAAUGACAUUCUUCUAUGAGCUACCGAAGAAAAAACUGUUUCUUUACACCUCUACCUGGCGGUCAUGCUGCAUUCUUGGUGAAUAGUCACACAUACACUUUCACACAUACGAAGAUAUAUAUCUACCCGC